Molecule: long non-coding RNA, 795 nt
Organism: Hibiscus syriacus
Lineage: Eukaryota; Viridiplantae; Streptophyta; Magnoliopsida; Malvales; Malvaceae
Exons: 3
Source: RefSeq, a predicted model, not a curated record
CCCCCCCAGCGCCGUUCUUCUUCUCUACUCAUCUCCACAUCCCUUUCGGCCUCUCGCCUCAUUUCUCUCGACCGAGAGCCACAAGGCUCACCUCAGCGCUGCCGAUAGGCCACCAACGGUGAUGGCCAAACCCUCAGACCAACAAAGGUUCGAACAAACUAGAGAACCUAAACAGAGGCUAAAACCACCACGGUCACCAUGGUCGUGGAUGCUAUGGGCUCCGAUGAGGGACCCGACGUCUUCUUCACAACUCACACCCCACAGACACCUAAACCGGACCAGGACUUCUUUCUCAGCCAACCCGAGGCCAAACGAAAGACAAACCUAAAGCCUCGGGUUUGGUUCCAAAUUUACAGGGCACGGGCGACAGCCACGAUUGGCGUGCUCGCAUGUCAUGGGCAGCAGUAGAGAACCGAGAUGUUCUGCUCGGGUUUGGUGCUGGCAUGAGCAGCUGCUCGGUUCUAGUGUUUCACGUGGGAGACAGCUGCUAGGGAGCUGUGCUGCACGUGGGAGGCAUGGGCAGCUGUGGAACCGAGCUUGGCUUGUUGGUGGAAACAUGUGCAAAGCUUGGGGAACCGAGUUGUUGGGGGUUUCACGUGGGCAACUAUGACGUGGAGCAGGGCCUUGCUGUAAACGGUUUGGGUCAGUGCUUGUCUUGAGCUGCUGCGUGUUGGAGCUUCACAUGAGUCGGGUUCAAUUUGUUGGGCCAGAUGUAACUGGGUCUUGUAAUUGUUGAUGGGCUUGAAUCUUGAACUUGCAUUUAAUUUGGCUUGUAAUUGGACUUCAAAGGUGUAA